UACGGGGGGAGCAAGCGUUGUUCGGAUUUACUGGGCGUAAAGGGCGCGUAGGCGGCCACCGCAAGUCGACUGUGAAAUCUCCGGGCUUAACUCGGAACGGUCAAGUGAUACUGUCGGACUAGAGUACAGAAGGGGCAACUGGAAUUCUCGGUGUAGCGGUGAAAUGCGUAGAUAUCGAGAGGAACACCUGCGGCGAAGGCGGGUUGCUGGGCUGAUACUGACGCUGAGGCGCGAAAGCCAGGGGAGCGAACGGG
RNAcentral lists this ribosomal RNA (254 nucleotides) under uncultured bacterium. Its description in RNAcentral is "partial 16S ribosomal RNA". It matches the Rfam family "Bacterial small subunit ribosomal RNA", at positions 524 to 776 of the family's 1533-position model. The record is from RNAcentral.